This 214-nucleotide unclassified non-coding RNA is filed under the name uncultured fungus. RNAcentral's name for it is "partial contains 18S rRNA, ITS1, 5.8S rRNA, ITS2 and 28S rRNA". The record is from RNAcentral. Lineage: Eukaryota; Fungi.
AAGGAUCAUUCAUAAUCAAGUGUUUUUAUGGCACUUUCAAAAAUCCAUAUCCACCUUGUGUGCAAUGUCAUCUCACUGGGGCCCACCGGCUGUCAAAAGCCGUCUGGUCUCCUUUGGGAUUUAUAUCUACUCAGAACUUUAGUGAUUUUGUCUGAAACAUAUUAUGAAUACUUAAUUCAAAAUACAGCUUUCAACAACGGAUCUCUUGGCUCUC